GCAAGUAAUGGGCUUGCUCAUGAUUCAGCGGCGGACGGGUGAGUAAUGCCUAGGAAUCUGCCUGGUAGUGGGGGACAACGUUUCGAAAGGAACGCUAAUACCGCAUACGUCCUACGGGAGAAAGUGGGGGAUCUUCGGACCUCACGCUAUCAGAUGAGCCUAGGUCGGAUUAGCUAGUUGGUGAGGUAAAGGCUCACCAAGGCGACGAUCCGUAACUGGUCUGAGAGGAUGAUCAGUCACACUGGAACUGAGACACGGUCCAGACUCCUACGGGAGGCAGCAGUGGGGAAUAUUGGACAAUGGGCGAAAGCCUGAUCCAGCCAUGCCGCGUGUGUGAAGAAGGUCUUCGGAUUGUAAAGCACUUUAAGUUGGGAGGAAGGGCAGUAAGUUAAUACCUUGCUGUUUUGACGUUACCAACAGAAUAAGCACCGGCUAACUUCGUGCCAGCAGCCGCGGUAAUACGAAGGGUGCAAGCGUUAAUCGGAAUUACUGGGCGUAAAGCGCGCGUAGGUGGUUCGUUAAGUUGGAUGUGAAAGCCCCGGGCUCAACCUGGGAACUGCAUCCAAAACUGGCGAGCUAGAGUAUGGCAGAGGGUGGUGGAAUUUCCUGUGUAGCGGUGAAAUGCGUAGAUAUAGGAAGGAACACCAGUGGCGAAGGCGACCACCUGGGCUAAUACUGACACUGAGUGCGAAAGCGUGGGGAGCAAACAGGAUUAGAUACCCUGGUAGUCCACGCCGUAAACGAUGUCGACUAGCCGUUUGGGAAUCCUUGAGAUCUUAGUGCGCAGCUUAACGCAUAAGUCGACGGCCUGGGGAGUACGUCGCAAGAUAAAACUUCAAAUGAGUUGACAGGUCCGCACAAAGCGGUGGAAGG
Molecule: ribosomal RNA, 873 nt
Filed under: Stutzerimonas stutzeri
Lineage: Bacteria; Pseudomonadati; Pseudomonadota; Gammaproteobacteria; Pseudomonadales; Pseudomonadaceae
Description: bacterial SSU rRNA
Rfam family: Bacterial small subunit ribosomal RNA
Source: RNAcentral